Molecule: unclassified non-coding RNA, 634 nt
Filed under: Hevea brasiliensis (rubber tree)
Lineage: Eukaryota; Viridiplantae; Streptophyta; Magnoliopsida; Malpighiales; Euphorbiaceae
Source: RNAcentral
GGUGACACUCCCCUUGUUCCACCUAAGUACCAUUUCUUCAUCAUCUCUACAACAUUUGCAUUUUCCACUUCAAUUUCCAAGUCUUCCUUACCUUCUAUCGCGAACGAUAUCUUUGCACUCCCAGAAGCACCUGGAAAAUAAUAUGUUAUUACUGAAUCUUUCUUGAAAUACUUAGACUGGAAAAAUUCAACGAUUUUUUCGAGUGCUUCUUCCUCUUCUUCUUCAUACUUAUCGACUUCUGCUAAGCGAUCGCGUAUAGCACUCUCUAGCUGCACACCAUACUGUGAACCUUUGAUCUCUUUAAUCACUACUACUCUCAAAAACUUGUCAACUGGAGCAUUCACAAUAGCCUCAAAGAAUUCAUCAUUUUCAGUUAGUUCUGCCCCUGUUUUGCCCUUCCAUUGUUGCAAAUGAGUCACAAUUUCUGGAUCCAAGUAAACUCCAAUUGCUGUGAAUUUAAUUUGGAGAAAAUGUAUCUCUAUAUCUGUUAUUCCAUGGCCCAUCAAAGGUAAAGGCUUAUUAUUCACCAUGAAUUGUGAAGGAAAAGGAAUUUCAUCCACCAUCACUUCAUUCUUUACCAUCUUGAACUUGAUUGGGAAAACUUAGAGAAUUUGAAAGUGGACUUGAAAAAAAU